RNAcentral lists this ribosomal RNA (422 nucleotides) under uncultured bacterium. Its description in RNAcentral is "partial 16S ribosomal RNA". It matches the Rfam family "Bacterial small subunit ribosomal RNA", at positions 360 to 774 of the family's 1533-position model. The record is from RNAcentral.
AAUAUUGGACAAUGGGGGCAACCCUGACCCAGCCAUGCCGCGCGGGUGAAGAAGGUCUUCGGAGUGUACAGCACUUUCAGUUGGGUGGAAGGGCUCUAGGUUAAUACCCUGAAGUUUUGACGUUCCCAACAGACGAAGCACCGGCUAACUCUGUGCCAGCAGCCGCGGUAAUACAGAGGGUGCAAGCGUUAAUCGGACGUACGGGGCGUAAAGCGGGCGUAGGUGGUUCAGUAAGAUGGGUGUGAAAUCCCCGGGCUUAACCUGGGAACUGCUUUCAUAACUGCUGAGCUAGAGUACGGUAGAGGGUAGUGGAAUUUCCUGUGUAGCGGUGAAAUGCGUAGAUAUAGGAAGGAACACCAGUGGCGAAGGCGACUACCUGGACUGAUACUGACACUGAGGUGCGAAAGCGUGGGGAGCAAACA